AUUGAACGCUGGCGGCAUGCUUUACACAUGCAAGUCGGACGAGUGGCGAACGGGUGAGUAACAUAUCGGGACGUACCUAGUCAUGGGGGAUAACUAAUCGAAAGAUUAGCUAAUUCCGCAUAUUAUUCGAGCGGCCGAGAUCUGAUUAGCUGGUUGGUGGGGUAAAGGCCUAGCAGGGCGACGAUGAGUAGCGGGUCUGGGAGGAUGAGCGGCCACACGGCGACUGAGAGACGGCCCAGAGUCCUACGGUAGGAAGCGGGGGGGAAUUUGGGACAAUGGGCGAAAGCCUGAUCCAGCCAUGCCGCGUGGCUGAAGAAGGCCUGCGGGUUGUAAAGGACUAAUGUUAGGGAAGCGGUACCUGAAGAAUAAGCACCGGCUAACUACGUGCCAGCAGCCGCGGUAAUUC
This 406-nucleotide ribosomal RNA is filed under the name uncultured bacterium. RNAcentral describes it as "partial 16S ribosomal RNA". It matches the Rfam family "Bacterial small subunit ribosomal RNA", at positions 30 to 526 of the family's 1533-position model. The record is from RNAcentral.